RNAcentral lists this ribosomal RNA (497 nucleotides) under uncultured bacterium. RNAcentral's name for it is "partial 16S ribosomal RNA". It matches the Rfam family "Bacterial small subunit ribosomal RNA", at positions 28 to 507 of the family's 1533-position model. The record is from RNAcentral.
GAUGAACGCUGGCGGCGUGCCUAAUACAUGCAAGUCGAGCGAACGGACGAGAAGCUUGCUUCUCUGAUGUUAGCGGCGGACGGGUGAGUAACACGUGGAUAACCUACCUAUAAGACUGGGAUAACUUCGGGAAACCGGAGCUAAUACCGGAUAAUAUUUUGAACCGCAUGGUUCAAAAGUGAAAGACGGUCUUGCUGUCACUUAUAGAUGGAUCAGCGCUGCAUUAGCUAGUUGGUAAGGUAACGGCUUACCAAGGCAACGAUGCAUAGCCGACCUGAGAGGGUGAUCGCCCACCCUGGAACUGAGACACGGUCCCGACUCCUACGGGAGGCAGCAGUAGGGAAUCUUCCGCCAUGGGCGAAAGCCUGACGGAGCAACGCCGCGUGAGUGAUGAAGGUCUUCGGAUCGUAAAACUCUGUUAUUCGGGAAGAACAUAUGUGUAAGUAACUGUGCACAUCUUGACGGUACCUAAUCAGAAAGCCACGGCUAACUACGUG